CCUACGGGAGGCAGCAGUAGGGAAUAUUGCUCAAUGGGGGAAACCCUGAAGCAGCAACGCCGCGUGGAGGAUGAAGGUUUUCGGAUUGUAAACUCCUUUUGUUAGAGAAGAUAAUGACGGUAUCUAACGAAUAAGCACCGGCUAACUCCGUGCCAGAAGCCGCGGUAAUACGGAGGGUGCAAGCGUUACUCGGAAUCACUGGGCGUAAAGAGCGCGUAGGCGGGAUAGCAAGUCAGAUGUGAAAUCCUAUGGCUUAAGCGUAGAACUGCAUUUGAAACUGUUAUUCUAGAGUAGGGGAGCGGUAGGAGGAAUGCUUGGUGUAGGGGUAAAAUCCGUAGAGAUCAAGAGGAAUACUCAUUGCGAAGGCGACCUGCUAAAACAUGACUGACGCUGAUGCGCGAAAGCGUGGGGAGCAAACAGGAUUAGAUACCCCUGUAGUC
RNAcentral lists this ribosomal RNA (440 nucleotides) under uncultured bacterium. RNAcentral describes it as "partial 16S ribosomal RNA". It matches the Rfam family "Bacterial small subunit ribosomal RNA", at positions 338 to 795 of the family's 1533-position model. The record is from RNAcentral.